Molecule: long non-coding RNA, 796 nt
Filed under: Gossypium barbadense (sea-island cotton)
Lineage: Eukaryota; Viridiplantae; Streptophyta; Magnoliopsida; Malvales; Malvaceae
Description: long non-coding RNA (GBAR_LNC005516)
Source: RNAcentral
CCUAGCCUCAUCUCUUCUCCACCAGCAAACCCUAGAUCCCCUUUUAGCUUCAACACCGAUCAGCUACUACAAUCGAAGAUCGGCAUAUUCGAGCCUCAUAACUAUGGUUUGUAGCCCCGAGAUCCUUCUUCCGACUUCAAUUUCAACGAAGCAAAGAAGAAUCUAUGGCCAAUUCGCAAAGGUAAGACCUCGUCUUUCUCCUUCUCUUUAUUUUUUUUAAAAUACAAUAGCGAAAGUUCGAAAAAAAGAUUCAACAGAGAACUAAAGAAAAUAGAAAACAGAAAAUCACCUUAAAAAAUCUUUCGAAACGCCUUUUUUGAUAUUUAAUAUGCGUACUCAGUGUGCGUAAAUUUUACCAGGUACAUUCGGUGGCUUUUAUAGCCAGAAAAAUACAAAUCUAAAAAUACAAAAAAAAAUCUAUUUUUCUUUUUGCUAUUUUUCAUUAUAUUUUGCUGCUUCUCGUGUAUUCUUUUGCUGUGUUUGUUUCUCCUUCUCGCAGGUUCUGUUGAUGUGGAGGUGUAUGGAGAAAAAACCACUCGUGGGGAGGCCGUUCGUGGGAAGCCACUCGUGGGAGCCUGAUUCUGGCUAGCUGCGGUGCUGGUGUAUUCUAGAAUGCUCUAGGGUUUCUGGUGCUUUCACGAUAUUGGGCUCAUUUAGGCCAAUUUUGGGUUUUGGGUUUGGGCCAUUGUAAUUAGGCCUAGGUUUUAGGCUGAUAUGAUUUUAGUAUUUGGAUUUACUGAAAAUUGUAAAUGGACUAUUUGGGCUUUUGUAAUCUAUGGACUUUAUUUUGCUUUUA